CGAAUGCUGACAUAAGUAACGAUAAAGCGGGUGAAAAGCCCGCUCGCCGGAAGACCAAGGGUUCCUGUCCAACGUUAAUCGGGGCAGGGUGAGUCGACCCCUAAGGCGAGGCCGAAAGGCGUAGUCGAUGGGAAACAGGUUAAUAUUCCUGUACUUGGUGUUACUGCGAAGGGGGGACGGAGAAGGCUAUGUUGGCCGGGCGACGGUUGUCCCGGUUUAAGCGUGUAGGCUGGUUUUCCAGGCAAAUCCGGAAAAUCAAGGCUGAGGCGUGAUGACGAGGCACUACGGUGCUGAAGCAACAAAUGCCCUGCUUCCAGGAAAAGCCUCUAAGCAUCAGGUAACAUCAAAUCGUACCCCAAACCGACACAGGUGGUCAGGUAGAGAAUACCAAGGCGCUUGAGAGAACUCGGGUGAAGGAACUAGGCAA
RNAcentral lists this ribosomal RNA (427 nucleotides) under Escherichia coli. RNAcentral describes it as "partial 23S ribosomal RNA". It matches the Rfam family "Bacterial large subunit ribosomal RNA", at positions 1291 to 1720 of the family's 2925-position model. Lineage: Bacteria; Pseudomonadati; Pseudomonadota; Gammaproteobacteria; Enterobacterales; Enterobacteriaceae. The record is from RNAcentral.